GUUCGAGCAUCCUUGGCUUCUUUCUCUUUUUUGUGGGGUUGGCACUUGCAAAGCAGAGAAAGACAUGGUGAAUAAUAUUGGAAGGAGCUAUUGAAUGAAUAUGGAAAUAAAAGGUUUGUGUGGCCUCAGAAUAAAGAGAAACGUAAAGUUGACAAGGUUCAGGGGUCUUGCUUCUGGGUUUCAUCUCUGAGAUUUGUGUUUGUUUGAUACUUGCUUGGGGCGUUGAUUAAUUCAACCUUUCCUGGGUUUUGACUAUCCAGGAGAUGGUGAGAGGGAAGAUUGAGGUGAAAAGAAUCGAAAAUGCGACAAGCAGGCAGGUAGCCUUUUCGAAACGUCGAAACGGGCUGUUGAAGAAGGCUUUUGAGCUUUCGGUUCUUUGCGAUGCCGAAGUUGCAGUCAUCGUCUUUUCUCAGAAAAACAGGCUCUAUGAGUUUUCUAGCUCCGACAUGCAAAAGACUAUAAAAAAAUACCAAAAACAUGCAAAAGGUGCGCUAACCAACACUACUGAAGUGGAACAGUAUAUGCAGCAAUUGAAGCAUGAAUCAGCUGACAUGGCCAAGAAGAUUGAGACCCUAGAAGCUUCUCAACGGUUUAUGACUUACUUUGAUCUUCAUCUCAUGAGGCUUUUGGGACAUGACUUGGAUCCUUGCUCUGCUCAAGAAGUCAAUCAGAUGAGUAGCCAGCUCGAGCGAAGCUUGCGCAAAGUACGAGAGAGAAAGGAUCAGCUAUUAACGGAGCAGAUAGAACGACUAAAAGCAAAGGAGAGGUUCCUCUUAGAAGAGAAUGCAAAACUACACACACAGUGUGGUGCAAGGCCUUGUCAGAAACCUUUAGUUCAAGAAAAAGGAGUUGGGGCAGCAAGUUAUAACUGGAUGAAUAGUAGUCAAAGUAGCAGCAGCCAAACAAUUAAUAAUUCAGAUCAGGUAGAGACUAGAUUGUUCAUCGGACCGCCAGUGAUGCGCUGUGAAUAAUAUAUAGCACAGUUGUGUUACGUACGUUCUGAAAGCCAACACCACCAUCUCUGCUGAUAUUGGACAUGGGCAAGGAAAUAAAUAAUAAUGCUCUGUCUUCGAGCAAAUCCUAUUUGAUAUAUAUGUAUUUGACUGAUGUAGAAGACCAGAAGUCCUGCCAGUUGCAUGUAUCUGAUUAAUAACUGCAGACUGGAAACUGAAGACUGACGACAAUCCUUUAUUCAUUUGUUCUGGUGUGAAGACUAUGAUUAACCUAAAAUUGUUGACAUCAAUAUCCUAUCCUUUAUAGGGAUAGGAUAUUAGGAUCGACCUAUACACUAAGGUAAAUACAAAGAUGUUGGAACUUGGUUUUUCUCAUUUUCAGUCUGAUACGUAUAAUUUGGUAAUUGAAAGUAACUUGUGCAUGGAGGAAAAUA
RNA transcript from Rosa chinensis, 1387 nucleotides. It is a transcript of the gene named MADS-box protein AGL42, with no coding region annotated. The record is from RefSeq and is a predicted model, not a curated record. NCBI's taxonomy places the organism in Eukaryota, Viridiplantae, Streptophyta, Magnoliopsida, Rosales, Rosaceae. The transcript has 10 exons.